RNAcentral lists this ribosomal RNA (456 nucleotides) under Ochromonas sp. CCMP1393. RNAcentral describes it as "partial Bacterial small subunit ribosomal RNA". It matches the Rfam family "Bacterial small subunit ribosomal RNA", at positions 1069 to 1532 of the family's 1533-position model. Lineage: Eukaryota; Chrysophyceae; Chromulinales; Chromulinaceae. The record is from RNAcentral.
GAGAUGUUGGGUUAAGUCCCGCAACGAGCGUAACCCUUGUUUUUAGUUGCCUUUCGAGGAUAUUUAGAAAGACUGCCGAUUAUAAAUCGGAGGAAGGUAAGGACGACGUCAAGUCAUCAUGCCCCUUACGCGUAGGGCUACACACGUGCUACAAUGGCGUCCACAGAGGGCAGCGAAGCCGCAAGGUCGAGCAAAUCCCAAAAAAGACGCCUCAGUUCGGAUUGGAGUCUGCAACUCGACUCCAUGAAGCUGGAAUCGCUAGUAAUCGCGGAUCAGCAUGCCGCGGUGAAUACGUUCCCGGGCCUUGUACACACCGCCCGUCACACCACGAGAGUUGGUCGCGCCCGAAGCCGUGACCCCAACCGCAAGGAGGGGAGCGUCUACGGCGAGGUCGGCGAUUGGGGUGAAGUCGUAACAAGGUAGCCGUAGGGGAACCUGUGGCUGGAUCACCUCCUU